Molecule: ribosomal RNA, 518 nt
Filed under: uncultured Actinomycetes bacterium
Lineage: Bacteria; Bacillati; Actinomycetota; Actinomycetes
Description: bacterial SSU rRNA
Rfam family: Bacterial small subunit ribosomal RNA
Source: RNAcentral
CGCAGCCUGAUGCAGCACGCCGCGUGGGGGAUGAAGGCCUUCGGGUUGUAAACCCCUUUUAGCAGGGAAGAAGCGAAAGUGACGGUACCUGCAGAAAAAGCGCCGGCUAACUACGUGCCAGCAGCCGCGGUAAUACGUAGGGCGCAAGCGUUGUCCGGAAUUAUUGGGCGUAAAGAGCUCGUAGGCGGUUUGUCGCGUCUGCUGUGAAAGUCCGAGGCUCAACCUCGGAUCUGCAGUGGGUACGGGCAGACUAGAGUGUGGUAGGGGAGACUGGAAUUCCUGGUGUAGCGGUGGAAUGCGCAGAUAUCAGGAGGAACACCAAUGGCGAAGGCAGGUCUCUGGGCCAUAACUGACGCUGAGGAGCGAAAGCGUGGGGAGCGAACAGGAUUAGAUACCCUGGUAGUCCACGCCGUAAACGGUGGGCACUAGAUGUGGGGCUCUUUCCAUGAGUUCCGCGUCGCAGCUAACGCAUUAAGUGCCCCGCCUGGGGAGUACGGCCGCAAGGCUAAAACUCAAAG